GUUCUUUCUUCCUUCUUACUCUCUCUCUUGCCCCUUUUAGUACAUAACUAACUCACAGAGCCAACCCGGCCUCCAGACUCGGUUCAACUCAGCCCACAUGCACCCCCUCCUGUCAAGCUGCAUCAGUUCUCAGGCUCUCAGUUUGACCAGUAAAGUCUGCAACUUUAUCAAACUUCUCUCUAUAUAACAAGUACAGCACUCUCUAAAGUUUUUUAUUUUAUUUUAUGGUUGUAGUAGAUUCGUAGGUGAAUGGAAUGUGUGUGGUUUUGGUUAAAGUAAAUCCAAGAGCUCAGUUUCCUAAGAAGGAAGUUGAAGUAAGAAAGGAACUUCUUUUUUUAGGUGAAUCAAUGAAUGAUUGACAGCAUAUGAAUGAGUACAUGUAUGUGUGUGUGUGUAGCUAUGUAUGCAUGUGAUGAUAUGAUUGAAUUCUUGUAUGGAAGGAGGCAAAGUGGUAAUUAAAAUGGGACUUGUUGGAAAUAAAUUAAUACUUGCAAGAAAACGAAAGGGAAAGAUUUUGCAAGUCCUUCUAUAUUUGCUCUGGGAGCUGUAUAAACAGAUGAGAUGGUUAAUAAUUGUUGACUUACUGAUUGAUUGGUGUAUAUAUGUCUGUUUUUUUUUUGUUUUUUUUCUCUCUUUUGGUAAGAGCUUCAUGGUUUUGCUGAAGAAUAAUUGAUGAAGAUCUACUUCGGUUGCAGAAUAAGGGUGCUUUUUGUUUGGUUAAAAUAGAAACUGAUGGCUUGCUUUAGAAAUGGAAGCUUAAUAGGAGGAGGUACAUGGUCUCUUGUUUAACGAAACAGUUAUGUUUCAAUAAGACUUGAGUGAACUGGGAAGCUCUCAGGAACAUGUGAAUCUUAGGAAUACCAGUCUGUCAAGCUAAUUGGAGAGAGUGAAGUGACCUGUUGCCAAUGAAUGAACACUUUGGACUUGGAUGCGUUCAGCUACUGUGAAGGGUAGUAAUUAUCUGGGGCAGUAAACUCUGCCGCAGGAUUGAAUUAUCACGUUAGUAAUGAUACACAGUUACAUAGGAGCAGGUUUCUUUCGACAUUGAAUCUACUUUACAUUAACAAAAAGGUUAUUUUUAAUGUAAAGUGACUGCUUUCUUGGAAACCUAUCUAGUAGAUGGCUGAGAUUUUUAAUUAAUGGUACUUGUUGUAAAGUUCAGAUAAAUGCUUCUUUUUACUGUAUUCAGUUAAACUUUUGUCGGGUCUGCCCUUAUUGAUUUGAGCUGCUAAGCAAACUUACAUAAUAGUUCAGAUUUUAUACAUCAUUUUAUGGUGCUUGCUUCAAUUUCAAAGGUUUUAGCAGUCAUGUUCCAAAAAUAAUUGAUUAAAUCUUGUAAGAAUCCUUAACUGCAUCUGAUGUUGCACUUGUUAUUAUGUCUGGUAAGAUGUCGGUUAGAUUCCUUGGUUGCUUCCCUUCUGGCUGACUCACUUUCUCAAUUCUUUAAUCAAAUAGCUAUCAUUUGGAACCCUAGUGAACAUUGAAUGAUAGGUGAUUAUUAUAUCCAAGUCUCCAUGAGUGCUGAUAGAACUUAGAAGGUAUUUUCUCCUACAUUAUAUUUCUUGCGAUCAUAGACUUGUUUGCUGCCAUUUUCUGUACCCUUACAGAUGGUAGACAGCAGAUGAAUGCUGUAUUGAAUAGGGUGCCUUUCCUGGAAGCAAACUCAACCUGGCAAAGCAAUUGCAGCUUUAAGGUUACUCACUCUGGAGAUUUUUUUAUUAGGCCUGCAAAAGCAGGGGGGAUCCGUUGGCAGCUUAAUUAGCUGUCCCUCCAAUGAGAUGCAACUUCAACAAUACAGACUCAAGUAGAUUUCUAUCUUUUGAGAGCAGUACACCUCGGGCCUUUAGUCAAGUAUAUCCAGCAUCGUUUAUGAAAAAAAAAAUUGAACAGGUUUCGAGGGCUCUGCAUUAACUUCUAACAUGGAGGUAGAACCAGAUCUUCGGCCAAUGAUUUCAUCAAGAGUUAAGGGUUUUUUAAGCUAUCAUUUUGUUAUCUAGCGAUUAAUUUUUCUAUUAAGCCUAGAUCUAUUUUAUCUAUAAAUAUAUAUAUAUACUAGACUUAGACUAUUUAUGUAAUCUGUAUAAUGAAAAUUAUCAUUUAAUUAUGGUAGAUUUAUAUCUGAUUGCUCAUAAUUAUCUAUUAUCUCAAGCUCGGCUAUUAUCUCUGGAUUCAAGAGAACUCAUUCUUGAGUUUUAUUUCUCUUUCAAAUGAGGUUAGAUUACCAUACUUGAGCCCAUGCAUCUUAAUCGCUUGAAAAAAUGUUUUUUGAACUUUUAAGGAGUUUUUUUGGGCUGAGGGGUUUUAACCCAUUAAAUUUAGAUUUAUGAGAAAUAAUCCUUUCAAGUUUCAAGUUUCAAGAACCGGAGAUGAGAAAUCAAACUUGUUUGCCAGUACUGAUAAUCUAAAACAGCAGGCAAUAUUCAGUCAAGAAUCACGCUAGCAUUUUUGGACUGUUCUUCUUCCAGGUGGGAAAAGCUCAACUGAAAAGCAUCCAAACCCUCCAGAUAAGAAUCCUCCUCUAAGCAUAAUCAGCAUCAGCAACAAUAUCAUCAGAGAAAUCAAAAUCAUACGGGUCCGGAGCAUCAUUACCAAUUAAUUACCUGCAAUUGCAGUAUCAUGGGGGUGGGUUAAUACGCAGCAACAAGAAACAGUACCACCUCCUAGAAAUCUGCUUCAGCGAAUAAGGAUUGAGGAGGCAUCGAGGUGGAACUUGUUGCAUGAAGCUGAAUAUCGCUGGUCAGCCAUACUGGAAUUUGAGGUUGCUUUCAUUUGUUCAUUGAUGUGACAUGGAAUUGGUGAAAUGUUGAUUCUUCAUUAAUUUUUCAAAAUUUUUUA
Long non-coding RNA from Populus trichocarpa (black cottonwood), 2835 nucleotides. RefSeq lists it as uncharacterized. The record is from RefSeq and is a predicted model, not a curated record. The transcript has 3 exons. Lineage: Eukaryota; Viridiplantae; Streptophyta; Magnoliopsida; Malpighiales; Salicaceae.